Molecule: long non-coding RNA, 241 nt
Filed under: Mus spicilegus (steppe mouse)
Lineage: Eukaryota; Metazoa; Chordata; Mammalia; Rodentia; Muridae
Description: lncRNA (ENSMSIG00000022685.1)
Source: RNAcentral
AUUAGCUGUCUCCUGGUGACUACCUGAGAAGUGGCCAUGCAGAGUUUAAUUGAAUCUGAUGAAAGCCCUCAUGGAGAUUAAAGGUGCUUGCUGCUGCAGAUCUUCCCGUGCCCUUCUACCUUGACCAGACCUAGCUGGACGCAGCAGUCUGCAAUUCGGGAGUGCGGCAACUUUGUCUGCACCUCUGUCCUGAGAUGCCCCGCAUGCGGAAUGAUGGGAAAUAAAUAUCCAUUGCUCAAAA